UCUAGUGGCGGACGGGUGAGUAACACGUGAGAAUUUACCUUUAGGAGGGGGAUAACAAUUGGAAACGAAUGCUAAUACCCCAUAUGCUUCAGAGUGAAAUGGAUUUAUAUUUAUCCGCCUAAAGAGAAGCUCGCGGCUGAUUAGCUUGUUGGUAAGGUAAGAGCUUACCAAGGCGACGAUCAGUAUCUGGUUUGAGAGGACGAUCAGACACACUGGAACUGAGACACGGUCCAGACUCCUACGGGAGGCAGCAGUGGGGAAUUUUCCGCAAUGGGCGAAAGCCUGACGGAGCAAUACCGCGUGAGGGAAGACUGCCUAUGGGUUGUAAACCUCUUUUUUCAGGGAGGAAUAAAAUGACGUGUACCUGAAGAAUAAGCAUCGGCUAACUCCGUGCCAGCAGCCGCGGUAAGACGGAGGAUGCAAGUGUUAUCCGGAAUCACUGGGCGUAAAGCGUCUGUAGGUGGUUUAAUAAGUCAACUGUUAAAUCUUGA
Molecule: ribosomal RNA, 491 nt
Filed under: uncultured Thalassiosira
Lineage: Eukaryota; Bacillariophyta; Thalassiosirophyceae; Thalassiosirales; Thalassiosiraceae
Description: bacterial SSU rRNA
Rfam family: Bacterial small subunit ribosomal RNA
Source: RNAcentral